Molecule: non-coding RNA, 68 nt
Organism: Dryococelus australis
Lineage: Eukaryota; Metazoa; Arthropoda; Insecta; Phasmatodea; Phasmatidae
Source: the annotation of a GenBank genome assembly
GGCGCAGGGUGUCGGUUCAAAGCCCGGCCGCGAAGCGGGAGGCCCGGGUUCGAGUCCCGGCUACGUCG